This is a long non-coding RNA of Sebastes umbrosus (honeycomb rockfish), 447 nucleotides long. RefSeq lists it as uncharacterized. Lineage: Eukaryota; Metazoa; Chordata; Actinopteri; Perciformes; Sebastidae. The transcript is spliced from 2 exons. The record is from RefSeq and is a predicted model, not a curated record.
CAACACCAGGCCCCGCCGCCAUUCUGUUGUUGCCCCGCGACCAGUUUCAGUUUCACCGCUUCGAGUUUCCUACAGCGUCCAACAUCCAACAUCCGGGCUUCCGUAGUGAACCACACUGGUACAGCAGAGCUGGAUGGGACAAAUGUCCUCCCCGCGGUGCUGAUUUCCCCUGGACGUCCGCAGCAACAUAUGGGACCCAGGGCAUCGGUCCAGAGGCAGAGAACUGCUCCCACUAUUGAUCUGAGAAAUCACCAAUGAUAUGACCUAGCCUACAUUAACACAAAGUCUCAAAUAUUCAAUUUAAAUAGUGUUGAAAAUACCCUAUUGCAAUUUUGAACAUUUAAUAUUUUCAGAUCUGCCAGUGAAAAUAUAAUUUUUUUGCAAUUAGCCUUUUUUUAAAUAAGAAAUUUUGAUAGGAUGAAAAAUAGAAUGUUUAUCAAGCAGUCA